RNAcentral lists this ribosomal RNA (492 nucleotides) under uncultured bacterium. Its description in RNAcentral is "partial 16S ribosomal RNA". It matches the Rfam family "Bacterial small subunit ribosomal RNA", at positions 28 to 505 of the family's 1533-position model. The record is from RNAcentral.
GACGAACGCUGGCGGCGUGCUUAACACAUGCAAGUCGAACGGUGAAGCGCCUUCCUUUUUGGUGGGUGUGGAUGAGUGGCGAACGGGUGAGGAACACGUGAGUAACCUGCCCCCUUCUUCUGGAUAACCGCAUGAAAGUGUGGCUAAUACGGGAUAUUCUGGGUCUGUCGCAUGAUGGGUCUGGGAAAGAUAUUGUUUCGGUGGGGGAUGGGCUCGCGGCCUAUCAGCUUGUUGGUGGGGUGAUGGCCUACCAAGGCGGUGACGGGUAGCCGGCCUGAGAGGGUGGACGGUCACACUGGGACUGAGACACGGCCCAGACUCCUACGGGAGGCAGCAGUGGGGAAUAUUGCACAAUGGGCGCAAGCCUGAUGCAGCGACGCCGCGUGAGGGAUGGAGGCCUUCGGGUUGUGAACCUCUUUCGCCAGUGAAGCAGGCCUGCCUCGUUUGUGGGUGGGUUGACGGUAGCUGGAUAAGAAGCGCCGGCUAACUACG